UGGCGGCAGGCCUAACACAUGCAAGUCGAGCGGAAACGAGUUAUCUGAACCUUCGGGGAACGAUAACGGCGUCGAGCGGCGGACGGGUGAGUAAUGCCUGGGAAAUUGCCCUGAUGUGGGGGAUAACCAUUGGAAACGAUGGCUAAUACCGCAUAAUAGCUUCGGCUCAAAGAGGGGGACCUUCGGGCCUCUCGCGUCAGGAUAUGCCCAGGUGGGAUUAGCUAGUUGGUGAGGUAAAGGCUCACCAAGGCAACGAUCCCUAGCUGGUCUGAGAGGAUGAUCAGCCACACUGGAACUGAGACACGGUCCAGACUCCUACGGGAGGCAGCAGUGGGGAAUAUUGCACAAUGGGCGCAAGCCUGAUGCAGCCAUGCCGCGUGUAUGAAGAAGGCCUUCGGGUUGUAAAGUACUUUCAGCAGUGAGGAAGGCGGAUGCGUUAAUAGCGUAUUCGUUUGACGUUAGCUGCAGAAGAAGCACCGGCU
This 482-nucleotide ribosomal RNA is filed under the name marine sediment bacterium ISA-6382. RNAcentral's name for it is "bacterial SSU rRNA". It matches the Rfam family "Bacterial small subunit ribosomal RNA", at positions 37 to 498 of the family's 1533-position model. The record is from RNAcentral.